RNAcentral lists this ribosomal RNA (169 nucleotides) under Escherichia coli. RNAcentral describes it as "partial 16S ribosomal RNA". It matches the Rfam family "Bacterial small subunit ribosomal RNA", at positions 1 to 163 of the family's 1533-position model. The record is from RNAcentral. Lineage: Bacteria; Pseudomonadati; Pseudomonadota; Gammaproteobacteria; Enterobacterales; Enterobacteriaceae.
AAAUUGAAGAGUUUGAUCAUGGCUCAGAUUGAACGCUGGCGGCAGGCCUAACACAUGCAAGUCGAACGGUAACAGGAAGAAGCUUGCUUCUUUGCUGACGAGUGGCGGACGGGUGAGUAAUGUCUGGGAAACUGCCUGAUGGAGGGGGAUAACUACUGGAAACGGUAGC